UACGUAGGGUGCAAGCGUUAAUCGGAAUCACUGGGCAUAAAGCGCACGUAGGCGGUGACGUAAGUCGGGGUGUGAAAUCCCUCGGCCUAACCGAGGAACUGCGCCCGAUACUGCGUUGCUUGAGGACCAGAGGGGGUGCAUGGAAUUUCCGGUGGAGCGGUGAAAUGCGCAGAUAUCAGGAGGAACACCGGUGGCGAAGGCGGGGUCUCUGGGGCCGAUACUGACGUGAGGAGCGAAAAGCGUGGGGGGAGCGAAACAGGG
RNAcentral lists this ribosomal RNA (261 nucleotides) under uncultured bacterium. RNAcentral's name for it is "partial 16S ribosomal RNA". It matches the Rfam family "Bacterial small subunit ribosomal RNA", at positions 524 to 777 of the family's 1533-position model. The record is from RNAcentral.